Molecule: regulatory RNA element, 108 nt
Rfam family: Glycine riboswitch aptamer
About the family: This family represents the bacterial glycine riboswitch. Glycine riboswitches usually consist of two metabolite-binding aptamers domains with similar structures in tandem. The aptamers cooperatively bind glycine to regulate the expression of downstream genes.
Source: Rfam
AUAGGGUACUCUGGAGAGUCUCCAUUUAUUAGGAGCGCCGAAGGUGUAAGACAGAUUCAAGUCCAUGGUAUCUGUCGAUCUCUCAGGCAAAAGGACAGGGCAUACAUA